AACAACCCAAUUCUGAACUAUUUUAACAAGUAAUCAGGAAUGAAAAAUGGGAAAGUGAGAUCAGAAAUAGCAAUGACAUCCAUUACAAUAAUUCUAUACAGAAAUUUAACUGCUAUAACUCUAUUGACACAACUGUAUUGGCCUUCAGAAAGGAGCUUGACAGUUACCAAGCAGAGAAGGAUGGCAGCCAAAUGUAACACCGGUUUAGAAUGUAAACUUAUUCAUAAAGUUAUAUGAAGAAGGAUGAUGGAUGAUCAUAAGUAGUAUCAUCUUUUAAAGCAGAGAGAAGCAGUGGAGGGUACCGUUUAAAGAAAACUUAGCAAGAUUACUGCUAAGCAAAGUCAUCCCAGAAGCAAUUAAAGACAAAAAUGGAAGGACCACAAAUAAGAAAAAUGGGAAAGAUCUGUCAAGACUAGUAUUACCAACUAUUCUUGCCAUUAAGGAGAGUGGGACCCUACACUCAGACCCUAACAUCACAGUACCAGGUGUUCUUAUAGAAGAGGUAGAAAUGGUGCUAAAGAGACACAAGAUGGGAAAUGGAAGAGUUUAUAGAGGAGGUCUAUGCUGAAGGAGUCAUGAUCACAAGCGGGCUAAGGAAUGCAAGUGUUGUCGUGUGGCAGUGAGACUCGGAAUACAACAAUCUCUAAAGAAUUAAUAACAUGUAAUGGAGAAUGCAUGGAGGGUGGGCUGUGUGAGCAAGCUGCAGCAUAUAACCAAUGGGUACCUUCAAAGAAGAAAAAGAUACCAUCAAGGAAAUGGAUGCUGAGAAGAUGGGCUGGUUAUCUGGCAAAGGUGUCCAUGAGCCUGUCAAAGUGAAGGAAAGCAGAAUCUGAUGGCGGUGGUGGUGAGGAGGAAAACCAGAUUUCCAUGAUCUGUUUCAGUCCUGGAAGGAUGAAU
This is a non-coding RNA of Phascolarctos cinereus (koala), 897 nucleotides long. NCBI's taxonomy places the organism in Eukaryota, Metazoa, Chordata, Mammalia, Diprotodontia, Phascolarctidae. The record is from RefSeq and is a predicted model, not a curated record.